Molecule: long non-coding RNA, 290 nt
Organism: Triticum dicoccoides
Lineage: Eukaryota; Viridiplantae; Streptophyta; Magnoliopsida; Poales; Poaceae
Exons: 2
Source: RefSeq, a predicted model, not a curated record
ACCUCUUUUGAGCUCUGAUUUUGAAGAUGUCGACAAGCAGGAAGCAAUGUUCUAUCGCAGUGUUGCUGCUGCUGGUGCUCGUCCAACUCAUCGGUGCUCUCGCUCGACCUCCAUGCGAUUAUCUUCGUCCAGGAACCUGUCACUAUAACAAACCAUGAGGUGAAGCUGGAAAAUUGCGUGGAUGCUGCUUCGUUGGGUUAUAUUGCCUUACUAGAUUAUUCGGUUUCUUUAUAGAAAUAUCCGUACUGUUCAGUUUGUUGGCAAUCUGAAAUAUGUAAAAUUUAAAAUCU